RNAcentral lists this ribosomal RNA (394 nucleotides) under uncultured bacterium. RNAcentral describes it as "bacterial SSU rRNA". It matches the Rfam family "Bacterial small subunit ribosomal RNA", at positions 335 to 742 of the family's 1533-position model. The record is from RNAcentral.
ACUCCUACGGGAGGCAGCAGUGGGGAAUAUUGGACAAUGGACCCAAAAGUCUGAUCCAGCAAUUCUGUGUGUUUGAUGAAGGCCUUCGGUUGUAAGAACUUUCAGUGGGGAAGAAGCAAGUGACGGUACCCACAGAAGAAGCGACGGCUAAAUACGUGCCAGCAGCCGCGGUAAUACGUAUGUCGCAAGCGUUAUCCGGAAUUAUUUGGGCAUAAAGGGCGUCUAGGCGGUCUAAUAAGUCUGAUGUGAAAAAUGCGGGCUCAACUCCGUAUUGCGUUUGGAAACUGUUAGACUAGAGUUUUGGAGAGGUAGGCGGAACUACAAGUGUAGAGGUGAAAUUCGUAGAGAUUUGUAGGAAUGCCGAUGACGAAGGUAGCUUACUGGACAAAUACUG